UAAGGAAUAUUGGGCAAUGGACGCAAGUCUGACCCAGCCAUGCCGCGUGAAGGAUGACUGCCCUAUGGGUUGUAAACUUCUUUUGUACGGGAAAAAACUCUCGGUCGUGCACCGGGACUGAUGGUACCGUGCGAAUAAGCAUCGGCUAACUCCGUGCCAGCAGCCGCGGUAAUACGGAGGAUGCAAGCGUUAUCCGGAUUCAUUGGGUUUAAAGGGUGCGCAGGCGGAAUUGUAAGUCAGUGGUGAAAUCUUCCGGCUUAACCGGGAAACUGCCAUUGAUACUGCUGUUCUUGAGUAUAGUUGAAGUGGGCGGAAUGUGUCAUGUAGCGGUGAAAUGCUUAGAUAUGACACAGAACACCGAUAGCGAAGGCAGCUCACUAAGCUGUAACUGACGCUCAUGCACGAAAGCGUGGGGAUCAAACAGG
Molecule: ribosomal RNA, 425 nt
Filed under: uncultured bacterium
Lineage: Bacteria
Description: bacterial SSU rRNA
Rfam family: Bacterial small subunit ribosomal RNA
Source: RNAcentral